This 468-nucleotide ribosomal RNA is filed under the name uncultured bacterium. Its description in RNAcentral is "partial 16S ribosomal RNA". It matches the Rfam family "Bacterial small subunit ribosomal RNA", at positions 28 to 507 of the family's 1533-position model. The record is from RNAcentral.
GAUGAACGCUGGCGGCGUGCCUAACACAUGCAAGUCGAACGGAAAGGCCCUGCUUUUGUGGGGUUCCCGAGUGCCGAACGCGUGAGUAACACGUGUGUAACCUGCCCUUGACUUUGGGAUAACUUCACGAAACUGGGGCUACUAUCGGAUAGGAGCUCCUGCUCCAUGGUGGGGGUUGGAUAGUUUCGGCGGUUGGGGUUGGAUGCGCGGCUUAAGGGCUAGUUGGUGGGGGAGUGGCUUACCAAGCGUUUGACGGGUAGGCGGCUUGGGAGGGUGACCGGGCACAAGAGGACUGAGGGAGGGACCAGACUCGUACGGGAGGCAGCGGGGGGGAAUAUGACACAGUGGGCGGAAGCCUGAUGCGGCGGCGCCCCGUGCGGAAUGACGGCCUUCGGGUUGUGAACCGCUUUCGCCUGUGACGAAGCGGGAGUGACGGUAAUGGAUAAAGAAGCACCGGCUAACUACGUG